This 1325-nucleotide long non-coding RNA is filed under the name Triticum aestivum (bread wheat). RNAcentral describes it as "long non-coding RNA (TAES_LNC004906)". The record is from RNAcentral. Lineage: Eukaryota; Viridiplantae; Streptophyta; Magnoliopsida; Poales; Poaceae.
UGUUCAUGUUCUACAACCCUAUCGGCCCCGGGCAAAGAAUCACACACGUUAUCAUAGGCGAGGACUGGUCGUGGCUAUAUGCAAGUGUGGUCGCCGACACCCAGGCAGGCUCAACGUAUAGCAUGCAUACACGGGCUCUUUUCUGAAUACUAUGCACCUUGAAUUCUGUGAGAUAUACACGUACAUUGCUCCCAAGUCAUAUAGAGGUUAAUGCUCAAUCUUUAUUUUAUUUUUAAGAAACUAAUUGGUGAUGCUUUGUACAUAAUAGUCAGGAUCUGGUUCGCAUGACUAUGUUGCCCUGCAUAAAUGAUCUUCACCACUCUCUCUAUACCCUUUUAUAUAUGGGUUUUUAUCAUUUAUGCCACCGGUUGUGUUUCACUACUCAGUUUUGCCACUAGGAAUUUCAACUGCUCAAAAAUGCCAUCGCUUCGUUAGACACAUACUCAAAAAUGCCACUGGACACCAUUAUUGUGGUCUCAAAUCUCUUUUGCCAUGUUAUAAUGACAUAAAUACCUAUGAACCAACAUGCCAGCUCUCCCUCUAUCUCACUACAAUAAAGUGUGGGGCCCACUUGUUCCCAACAACGUUCUUAUUUUCCUGUAAAAUUAUUCGCUUGGGUACUCCUGACAAGUGGGGCCACACUUAUCAUUGUGAGAUAGAGUGAGCUGACAUGUGGGUCUAGGCUUAUUUUUGUCAUAUAACAUGGUCAACAGGUUUGACGUGAAAAUAACCAUGUCUAAUGGCAUUUUGGAGCAAACAUCUAACGUAAUGAUGGCAUUUUUGAGAUAUCUAAUGGCAUUUUUGAGCAAGCAUCUCACAAAUCGAUGGCAUAUUUGAGUAGCUGUAACUUCUAAUGGCAAAACUGAGUAGUGGGACACAACUAGUGGCAUAAAUGAUAAAAACCCUUUAUAUAUUGUUUGACAUUUGUACUUUUCUAUCUGCAGAUGAGUAAGAGAAGAAAAAUGAAUGUGCUCCUGUUUACAUCAAGAGAAUGUACCCCAUUUAAGGACCUAACAAACACAACUAUGGAUGGUAGUGCUAAUAUCCCACAUAAUCAAACGGACGAUCCUAAAAGGAAAAGUGUUCAAUCAUGGUACGCCAAUGUCGGAUGAGAAGAAAGCAAAAUACAACGCGAAGUGUCAUAUAUCCUGACAACAAACGAGAGUUGCAGCUCUAGACUGUCUAAACCAGGACCAAUUAUCACAAACAUGUGUUUCUCCGUUAGACUGUGCUAUGGUUCAUCUCUACAACAGUUUUCCUAUCUAACAUCAUGUGUAUCUAAGUGCAGCUUCUGGUCAGGCCCCACUUGUUUCUGGCGAUCCCAG